RNAcentral lists this ribosomal RNA (449 nucleotides) under uncultured Pseudomonas sp. Its description in RNAcentral is "bacterial SSU rRNA". It matches the Rfam family "Bacterial small subunit ribosomal RNA", at positions 930 to 1382 of the family's 1533-position model. Lineage: Bacteria; Pseudomonadati; Pseudomonadota; Gammaproteobacteria; Pseudomonadales; Pseudomonadaceae. The record is from RNAcentral.
CGGUGGAUGAUGUGAUUAAUUCGAUGCAACGCGAAAACCUUACUACCCUUGACAUGUCCGGAAUCCCGAAGAGAUUUGGGAGUGCUCGCAAGAGAACCGGAACACAGGUGCUGCAUGGCUGUCGUCAGCUCGUGUCGUGAGAUGUUGGGUUAAGUCCCGCAACGAGCGCAACCCUUGUCAUUAGUUGCUACAUUCAGUUGGGCACUCUAAUGAGACUGCCGGUGACAAACCGGAGGAAGGUGGGGAUGACGUCAAGUCCUCAUGGCCCUUAUAGGUGGGGCUACACACGUCAUACAAUGGAUGGUACAAAGGGUCGCCGACCCGCGAGGGGGAGCCAAUCCCAUAAAGCCAUUCGUAGUCCGGAUCGCAGUCUGCAACUCGACUGCGUGAAGUCGGAAUCGCUAGUAAUCGUGGAUCAGAAUGUCACGGUGAAUACGUUCCCGGGUCUU